AUGGGGCAAUUAGCUAGUUAUAAUAACAACCUUGGUUCUGAUUAUGUUUUUUACGAGAGAGUUGGGUUAGCACCGAUUGAAGAGAAGCUUGUCCAACAUCGUCAGAGAUGGUUUGGGCAUAUUCAGCGCAGGCCUCCAGAAGCUCCAGUGCAUAGCGGACGGCUAAAGCGUUCUGAUAAUGUCAAGAGAGGUCAAGGUAGACCGAAUUUGACAUGGGAGGAUUCCAUAAAGAGAGAUCUGAAGGAUUGGAGUAUCACCAAAGAACUAGCCAUGGACAGGGGUGUGUGGAAGCUUGCUAUCCAUGUGCCAGAACCAUGA
This 318-nucleotide ribosomal RNA is filed under the name Triticum aestivum (bread wheat). RNAcentral's name for it is "partial small subunit ribosomal RNA". Lineage: Eukaryota; Viridiplantae; Streptophyta; Magnoliopsida; Poales; Poaceae. The record is from RNAcentral.